Molecule: RNase P RNA, 369 nt
Filed under: Methyloprofundus sp.
Lineage: Bacteria; Pseudomonadati; Pseudomonadota; Gammaproteobacteria; Methylococcales; Methylococcaceae
Description: RNase P RNA component class A
Rfam family: Bacterial RNase P class A
About the family: Ribonuclease P (RNase P) is a ubiquitous endoribonuclease, found in archaea, bacteria and eukarya as well as chloroplasts and mitochondria. Its best characterised activity is the generation of mature 5'-ends of tRNAs by cleaving the 5'-leader elements of precursor-tRNAs.
Source: RNAcentral
AGAGUUGGUUAGGCAGUCGCUAUCUCGCUUGUUCGCAAGCGGGGUAGAGGAAAGUCCGGGCUCCAAAGGGCGAGAUACCAGAUAACCUCUGGGAGGCGCGAGCCUACGGAAAGUGCAGCAGAAAAUAAACCGCCCCGCGCUUGAAUCCUAGAUUCAGGAGCGAGGUAAGGGUGAAAUGGUGCGGUAAGAGCGCACCGCGUGACUGGUAACAGUAGCGGCAUGGUAAACCCUAUCUGGAGCAAGAUCAAAUAGAGGAGCAGACGCGCUGCCCGCGCGGCUCCUGGGUAGAUUGCUUGAGCCAUAAGGUGACUUAUGGCCUAGAUGAAUGACUGUCCUCGACAAAACCCGGCUUACCGACCAACUCUACUU